AACGCGAAGAACCUUACCUGGAUUUGACAUGUGUAUGACCGUUACAGAGAUGUAAAAUUCUAGCAAUAGACAUACAACACAGGUGCUGCAUGGCUGUCGUCAGCUCGUGCCGUGAGGUGUUGGGUUAAGUCCCGCAACGAGCGCAACCCUUGUCGUUAGUUGCCAGCACGUAAUGGUGGGCACUCUAGCGAGACUGCCUGGGUUAACCAGGAGGAAGGUGAGGAUGACGUCAAGUCCGCAUGGCCUUUAUAUCCAGGGCUACACACGUGCUACAAUGGCCGGUACAGAAGGUAGCGAGACCGCGAGGUGGAGCAAAUCCGAAAAGCCGGCCCCAGUUCAGAUUGUAGUCUGCAACUCGACUACAUGAAGAUGGAAUUGCUAGUAAUGGCGAGUCAGCAACAUCGCCGUGAAUACGUUCCCGGGCCUUGUACACACCGUAGUAC
Molecule: ribosomal RNA, 443 nt
Filed under: uncultured bacterium
Lineage: Bacteria
Description: bacterial SSU rRNA
Rfam family: Bacterial small subunit ribosomal RNA
Source: RNAcentral